This 1300-nucleotide long non-coding RNA is filed under the name Marmota monax (woodchuck). The record is from RNAcentral. Lineage: Eukaryota; Metazoa; Chordata; Mammalia; Rodentia; Sciuridae.
GUGCAUGUAUGUGUAUAUAUAUAUAUACACAUACAUAUAUAUACACAUACAUGCACACACAUGUGUAUGUUUGUGUGUGUGUGUGUGUAUAUAUAUAUAUAUAUAUAUACACACACACACAAACAAAUAUUCAUGCACACACAUAUCAUAUAUAAAACUUAAACAUGCACUAUUGGGUGCAUAUUCUAAAAAUAGAAAUUGCAAAGGGACACAGUUGAACUUUUAAGUCUGGAGUUUUCUUUCUAUUCUCUUGUGAACCACCUUGAAUAUCCUCACCCUGCAGUUCACAUAUACCACUUCAAAGACUCCUGAUGGUACAGUAUUCUCAGCUCUAAGAUGUUGUAAAGAUAGGGUGGACAAAAGAAAUUGUCAAGCAUCUAAAUGCACAUGGAACCAUUCAGAAAAGUAAAUCUGGAGGAGUCAAGGAUCUGUCUAGUACAGAAGACUUGUUGGUACCUAUUUGGUCAUUUUUUGAGAUUUGGUUCUAAAGUUAUUCCUGCAUGAAACUUCUGGCAUUUCCAAGUAAAAUGAUAACUGCCUUUCUUAGAUUCCCCUAUCUCUAUACAAAUGUCUAGCAUAAUAUUUACAAUAUUUGAUUACAUUUAUUGGUUUCAGUGUCUCUCUCAUGUUUUAACCACCAACCUCUCAAAAUGCAGGGAUCACAUAAUAUUCUUCAUUAAUUUCCUGGUACUUCUCAUGCAGUAAGUGCUUAGUAAAUACUCAUAAGUGAAUUAGUUGACAAGACUAUAUACUAAUAGAGUGCAUAAAGAUCAGGAUGUCCCAGAAAUAUAUAGAACAAGAGGAAAAUGCCAUGAGACAUUAACUAGAGCCUCUUCCGCGUAUAAUUAAUUAGAUUGUAAUGUCUGACUUGUUUGCAGCAAAUUUCACAAAAUUUCCCAGUGAAUCCUCCAGCUAAUUCAACGGAAUUCAUGGUUGCUUCACUCCUUCACACAGCUCCUCAUCUGCUCUGCAGAGCAGGGGAGUUAGCCCUGGGUUGGGAUGUUUAUGUGCUCACUAAUCAUACAUUUGUUUUCCCUCUAAGCUCAGUCCUGCCUGCCAAGAUCAGUUCAAGAUGACAAUCAUUUUCAUGCUUUCUGUCAAACAAAGGCUCCAGGAGGACAUGGAAGAAGGGAACAAAAUCAGAAGUUUAACAUCAACAAUUACAAGGAAAAAGAUGGGGGAAAAAGUUUAAAACAUGUUCCCCAUUUUUGGCUAUUCUCUCUCAGCAUUUUAGUGCCUCAGCUCAUGUAUCAUUGCUUGGCACAUUGAGGAUGGGUUGGGGUGUGGGGUGGAUUCUUAG